GACAAUGAGUCUGUUUUCAAAGUAGAGCCUCAGCCCCUAAACCAUCCUUUGUCCUGUUUUGUACUAUCAGAGCUGGACCUUGUCAUCACUUAACACUUGGGAUAGUGUUUAGCAUUAUGGUAGAAGGCUCUACAAUGGUCCCACAGGAGAAAGGACACUCUUCUACCUGAACCCAGUGGUUUUCCCCUUUUGCUCCAGGGAUAUGCAGCUGAAGUGCCCUUCUCUUGAGGGGUCACUCAAAAGUGUGCCCCCUGUGGGUGGCUUCUUAGAAAGUUUUAUCAGCACUCUGGAUGCAGCUUUCUAGUGAGGAGUCUUAGAGGGGGCUUCCCAGCAAGUUUCAGCGACCUGCUCUUCAUUGUCUUCAGCUGGAGGCUUCCUAGUGGUGCUGCUGGAAUUCCCUUAGAGCAGCUAGUUUCUGGCUGGCCAGGCCUGGUACUCAACACCUCAGGGAAAUUCUCUCCCUGCAGUGGGAGGCAGCUGCACCUUCUCCAGCUGGUUCCGAGCUUCAGUCUGGGGGACUUUCUCCCAGGAUGCUCUUCCUUGAAAACUCUGUUUUAGUCCUAGCAGGAGUGGCUGCCACUUACACCUGCUUUUUCUGUGUUUUUUAGAUUCUCUCUAUCCUUUUUAUUAGUAAAUUCCCUCUGAUGAAUGGAUAAUUAUUCAUAUUCAAAUUUUCCAAUUCAAACGACUGGUUUGGUUACUGCCUGCGAGCCGACAUUGGCUGAUACAGACACCAUACAAGAACCCAGAAAAAGCUGGAAGAUAGGCAUGCCCUCUGUGACCACAACAUCCUGAAAGAAUCCAUUCUUAGCCACUUGGUCCUGAGCGUGAAAGGAGGUGUCUAAGCGCUUCCUUUUAAGUUCUCAUUAGAUUUUAUUUCAAUAAAGUUGUUGCAUCCCUUUCUCCUCCUCCCCCCGCUCCCCCCCCCCCCAAAAAAAAACGGUCCAUGGUUUCGCGGCUAUAGAGGAGCCACCUGGCUGCAGCUUGGAAAUCCAGGCAUUCAUCUCCCGGCGCCAUGGCUGUGGGCACAAAUGUGUAGGAGAUUCUAGAACUGGGGGAUGAGAGAGGCACAGGGCUUCCGGGACCAUCAGCAAGAAGCAGAUUAUCAAGCCAGACAAGAAAAAGUCCAAGAAGUCCUACGAAGUCCUGGCCUUCCAGAAGUCUGCGGAUGUGCACCCGGAAGUCUACCGCUGCUCUAGUCUGACAAGAAGGACUCACUGCUAUCCAGUGACACGGGCAAGGCCACCGCACCGUGAGGGCCAAGUUGGGCACCAAGAAGACGUGGCCCUGGAAGUGGAUGCCAUCCACCAACCCAGCAUGCAAGGAUGGAGCCUGUUCUUCCACUGGCGACAGGCAGCUGAGGAGGGCAAGGCUGUCCCCUUGCCCACGUUCGAUAAGACUGUUGGUGCCCGUGCAUUCAGAGCAGGAGUACCAGCUCUGGCUUCACCAAGACACUCAAACAGAGGCAGAAACUGGCCACCUCUUUGACCUCAGCCGCUGCUUUGGUCUCCCUUUUGUCAUUCGCCAUGCCUGGGAUGAUCGCCAGCAGUUGACGGAGCCACCUGUGGAGGACUUGAAGGAGCGGUAUUACCGCGUCUGAGCAGAGCUGGCCAACGUCCAGGCCGAGAUCUGGACAACGCACAGACCUCGGGGUACCAGUGUUCGAUGCUUGGCACUGGCGACGGUGGAAGGAACAACUGAAGCAUUGCUGUAAGUUGCCAGUAAGCACGCGACGGCGGAAGAGUACCCACUAUAUAAGCUGCUCCAGAUCUAGUCCCGGCAGAAGCAGCGUAGUGGGGAGCGCGGGAGCUUCUGACGGCUGCUGGCCGGGCUGCCUAGCAACGUCCUCCUGACGCAGUCACCUCACAAAAAAGGGGCCAAGAAGCCGGUUGUUCUGAGACUACAGGCAUGACUACCUUAGCAGAUGGAGCUGCUAGGGUCUAUGGAACAGACGAUCGAGGCCUGGAACCAGUGCUGGAUGUGGAGCUGAGCCCGGAGGAGGGGUUGGUGCGCAGGCUCGGCGAGGCGCGGCCCGAGCUGGUGCAGGUGGACCAGCUCGAGCAGGAUGGCGCCGCCCGUGGGGACGAGCCCCGGACGCUGGCCCCGGCUGGGUGCUGCGAGGCUGCCACCCCAGCGUCGGUGCUGGCCCUGGCGGAGCCUGAACCUGGCCUGGGGCCUGCUCCUAGCAAGGGCACCAUCGUCUACCAUCAUCGCACCCAUUGCGUCCACGAGGAAGCGAUGGGAAUCAUCUCCAGCUCCUCUUCUCUGAAAAAACCAAGAAACCCUGAGAGGCCGCAAGGGGUGAAGGAUGCGGCUGCGUAGAGCUGAUCUACAUUGUCCUACAUCGGGGCCCUCCUUCAGCCCUACAGCCUGAGCCCCAGAAUGACUGUCACUGGGAGCAGAGCCACAGCUGACUUGCAUGGCCACACACUCAGGGUAUUUCAUAUUGGAGUUGCUCCUUCACCACGGGUCCCCAAUUAGAACAAUGAGGUAGAAGCCAAAUGGAGCUGAGACACAGUCAACGACUUCAGAGCAAACAAACCCAAGGGAAUCCUGAUCUGAGAAAAUGGAGUCCAUAUAUUUUUCUUUGAGCUGAAGGAAAGCAAAUGUAAGCAUUGUGUAAUUACUCGCUGAAGCAUCUGUAUGGUUCCUGUAGAAAAGAACAUCCAUAUAAUCCUGGUGUUGGAGUCAAAUUAUUUGCUUAUUCUCAUUCUUUGUGUGACAAGUGAGUGAUUUCCCCCUAAACCUGGACAUUCAAGCUAAAAUCUGAUUAUUAUUUAAAUUUUGUGUUUAUCAAGCUUCCUCCAAUGGCCACUUCAGUGCAAGAAGAGUGUGGGGGUGUCGUCUUGUUACCUUCAGACGAGCCGGAAGUGCAGGUUCUUCACAUGGCCUGGUUUCCCAUUGGGAUGAACGGGGGCUCUUUGUUACUGCUGGACGGGCUCAGAGUUCCAGCUCUCUCUCCAACUUCAGCUGGGACCUGGCUGGAAGCAGGAGAAGAUCUCGUCACCAGGCUUCACUGGGGCCCCCGCUGCCAGUUCCUUGGAGGAAGUGGACUCGUUAUCACGGAGUAGUGCUAAGAGCCUUGACUGCAUAGUUCUUGUUCUCACACACCCUCGGUGAGGAAGUGGAGGUACCUUGUUACUGCUGCAGAGAAGUGGCGAUCCAGACUCUGUCCUGGUCUCCACUGCAGCAUGGCACGAGAUCUGUCAGGGAUGGAAAGCUCAGUUCUCCAGUCAGCCUCUUCUGAUACCAAGCUGUGGAAGGAAAGUUAGAGUAUCUCACUGUUGCCUGCCAAGGGUGGAAGUCUUGCUUUUCCACGCAAAACUUUGCUAGAAAGGAUGAGGCUGGGGCUUACUCUACAGGUUACUCUACACCGGUUAUUGGGUGAAGGUUUUUCUCUUGUUACCUGGUCCUUCGGCUACAGAGAAGAGGCUGUACGAGGGUUCUUUUAGCAGCUUCUCCAGUAUUCAUUCUGAGAUACAUGAGACAAAAAGAAAACUUCAGAAUUCACCAAGUCGUUCCACAUAAACAUAGGUAUAAAUAUCUCCCAGUUUUGAACUUGUACUUGGUGGUUGGAAUAGGUAAAAGUACAUCUGUUCUUCUCCAUACUCUUUGAAAGUUCGAUAAAAUUCAUAUGAUUCUUGUUUUGUAAAUUGAGGUAUAAGUGAAAUAUAACAUUUCAGAUGUAUAAUAAAAUGGUUCAGUGUUUGUAUAUAUUGUGAAAUGAUCAUGAUAAAUUAUCUUAAAAAUCUUUUUAGAAAGCUAUAAUAAACUGAACAAAAUGUUUAUUGUAAUAUGCCUCACAGCAGAUAAUACUUAAUGUGAUAUAUGUCUCUGAUAUUUUACCCUGCUUUAAUGCCAAAUACUAAAGAAAAUGAUACAAACACAGAUCAUUACUGCCAGCAAAAAAUAAAUAAAAUUCACAUCCCUUUGGUGAAAUGCAAUGAUACAAACCAUGAGUUUGGAUAAUGUGGAUGACACUUUACAUGGAAAGGAAAAUCAAGAAUGAAAAUAAUUGUGAUGGAGUCCUGUGGUAUUCUUUUAAAACUCCUAUUAAAAUAUUGGAGGAUGAUGGGGUACAAGUGGAGACGUGAAUAGGUGCUUUAGGGUGACUACUGCAGUUUAUCUGGACCUCGCCUGGUUUUAACACUGAACGUCUCUUAGUCCUGGACAAACAGGAAGCGUAGUCAUCCUCACUGGACAACUGUGCUGAUUUACAGGUACUGUGCAAUUUUAAUCUUGUAAUUGUGGCUGUUUUACUACUAAUGCAUCCAAGGAAUUAUUAAAAUAACUGGGUAAAGUUCACCACAUUCUCUUACCUCAUCCAUCGUUGUAGCUGGGAGCUUGUGACUUCUAGUAACUACUGAAUUGGGUUUUCUGCUCUUGUUCUUCACCUCCUUUAGUCCCUUUGUUUCCAAACAGCAGAGUUCUUAAGAAUUGCAUUAGAAUCAAGCAAUUGGAGAGAUAUAUUUAUGAUUAGAAAACUGUUGACUAGAACCAAAGUUUAUUAUAUUAUCUGUAGAAUAAUAGACAUUUUAAAAUGAAUUAAUGUAGUUUGCUAUAUUUGCUAAAGUUAUAUUGUAUCAAUUACUUACUGGAAUCUUCAUUUACAAGAAAUAAUAGUAAUGU
Bos taurus (domestic cattle) is the source of this 4629-nucleotide long non-coding RNA. The record is from Ensembl. NCBI's taxonomy places the organism in Eukaryota, Metazoa, Chordata, Mammalia, Artiodactyla, Bovidae.